RNAcentral lists this ribosomal RNA (916 nucleotides) under uncultured bacterium. RNAcentral's name for it is "bacterial SSU rRNA". It matches the Rfam family "Bacterial small subunit ribosomal RNA", at positions 8 to 916 of the family's 1533-position model. The record is from RNAcentral.
AGAGUUUGAUUCUGGCUCAGAUUGAACGCUGGCGGUAUGCUUAACACAUGCAAGUCGGACGGUAACAUGGGAGCUUGCUCCUGAUGACGAGUGGCGGACGGGUGAGUAACGCGUAGGAAUCUGCCUCGUAGUGGGGGACAACUUGGGGAAACUCAAGCUAAUACCGCAUACGCCCUAAGGGGGAAAGCGGGGGACCUUCGGGCCUCGCGCUAUGAGAUGAGCCUGCGUUGGAUUAGCUAGUUGGUGGGGUAAAGGCCUACCAAGGCGACGAUCCAUAGCUGGUCUGAGAGGACGAUCAGCCACACUGGGACUGAGACACGGCCCAGACUCCUACGGGAGGCAGCAGUGGGGAAUAUUGGACAAUGGGCGCAAGCCUGAUCCAGCAAUACCGCGUGUGUGAAGAAGGCCUGAGGGUUGUAAAGCACUUUCAAUGGGGAGGAAAAAGCCUGGGUGAAUAGCCUAGGUGUUGACAUUACCCAUAGAAGAAGCACCGGCUAACUCCGUGCCAGCAGCCGCGGUAAUACGGAGGGUGCGAGCGUUAAUCGGAAUUACUGGGCGUAAAGCGUGCGUAGGCGGUUAUUUAAGUCAGAUGUGAAAGCCCCGGGCUUAACCUGGGAAUUGCAUUUGAUACUGGGUGACUAGAGUUUAAUAGAGGGGAGUGGAAUUUCAGGUGUAGCGGUGAAAUGCGUAGAGAUCUGAAGGAACACCAGUGGCGAAGGCGGCUCUCUGGAUUAAAACUGACGCUGAGGUACGAAAGCGUGGGUAGCAAACAGGAUUAGAUACCCUGGUAGUCCACGCCGUAAACGAUGUCAACUAGCCGUUGGGUUUUAUUAAUGAACUUAGUGGUGCAGCUAACGCAUUAAGUUGACCGCCUGGGGAGUACGGCCGCAAGGUUAAAACUCAAAUGAAUUGACGG